Molecule: ribosomal RNA, 253 nt
Filed under: uncultured bacterium
Lineage: Bacteria
Description: partial 16S ribosomal RNA
Rfam family: Bacterial small subunit ribosomal RNA
Source: RNAcentral
UACGUAGGGCGCAAGCGUUAUCCGGAAUUAUUGGGCGUAAAGAGCUCGUAGGCGGUUUGUCGCGUCUGCCGUGAAAGUCCGGGGCUCAACUCCGGAUCUGCGGUGGGUACGGGCAGACUAGAGUGAUGUAGGGGAGACUGGAAUUACCGGUGUAGCGGUGAAAUGCGUAGAUAUCGGUAGGAACACCAGUGGCGAAGGCGGUCUCCUGGGGCAUUCUUGACGCUGAGGCGCGAAAGCUGGGGGAGCAAACGGG